Molecule: ribosomal RNA, 375 nt
Filed under: uncultured soil bacterium
Lineage: Bacteria
Description: bacterial SSU rRNA
Rfam family: Bacterial small subunit ribosomal RNA
Source: RNAcentral
AGAACGAACGCUGGCGGCAGGCCUAACACAUGCAAGUCGAACGCUCCGCAAGGGGAGUGGCAGACGGGUGAGUAACGCGUGGGAAUCUACCCAAAGGUACGGAACAACCAAGGGAAACUUUGGCUAAUACCGUAUGUGCCCGAAAGGGGAAAGAUUUAUCGCCUUUGGAUGAGCCCGCGUCGGAUUAGCUAGUUGGUGAGGUAAUGGCUCACCAAGGCGACGAUCCGUAGCUGGUCUGAGAGGAUGAUCAGCCACACUGGGACUGAGACACGGUCCAGACUCCUACGGGAGGCAGCAGUGGGGAAUAUUGGACAAUGGGCGCAAGCCUGAUCCAGCCAUGCGCGUGUGUGAAGAAGGCCUUCGGGUUGUAAAGCA